GGCUCAUUGGAGUAGACGGUUAUCUCGUCUGAUUCUCAAUCAGAAGAUCGCGGGUUCGAGUCCCGCAUGAGCUACC
This 76-nucleotide transfer RNA is filed under the name Mycobacterium phage Toaka. Its description in RNAcentral is "tRNA-Glu". It matches the Rfam family "tRNA". From Rfam's summary of the family: Transfer RNA (tRNA) molecules are approximately 80 nucleotides in length. Their secondary structure includes four short double-helical elements and three loops (D, anti-codon, and T loops). The record is from RNAcentral. Lineage: Duplodnaviria; Heunggongvirae; Uroviricota; Caudoviricetes.